This is a long non-coding RNA of Patella vulgata (common limpet), 959 nucleotides long. RefSeq lists it as uncharacterized. The record is from RefSeq and is a predicted model, not a curated record. The transcript has 5 exons. NCBI's taxonomy places the organism in Eukaryota, Metazoa, Mollusca, Gastropoda, Patellidae.
CCCAGUUUGCAGUCGUGUUGUGAUAAUAUGCUGAUAUAUUCACAGUUUACAUUCAUAGCCAUGUUUGUGUGAAUAUAGAAACAUUAUUGACGAUAUUAUAACGGAUGUAGUAGUGAAACACAGAAUAAUACAGUCUGACAAAAAAGGUUGAAAAAGAUUUUGAAAUCUUAUUACUAAACAAUACAUUUUGAAAAUGGAGAACGUUGGUAAUAUUAAAGAAAUUGUAAUCAAAGACAAGUCAGGAAAUGAUUUUAAGAUGAUUGAAGUUGACGGGGUUUAUCUAACGUCCGUAGGAGAAGAACUCGUGGGUAACAAACCGGAAGUUCAUUUUAGAAAAAUCAAGGAUCUCAAGAUACGAGACGAUGACGUCAUGAUAUGUGCUUAUCCAAAAGCAGGCACUCACUGGAUCUGGGAAGUUAUUCAAAUGUUACGAACUCAGUCUACAGAAUAUAACAAACAGAUCAAGGAGAAACAAAUGUUAAGAUUCGGCCACAUGGGGGGUAUAGACCAGGAACCGUCCCCACGUGUUCUUAAUUCACAUUUAUGGCCGCGGCAUUUACCCGCAUAGAUGUUCUCAAAGAAAACCAAAAUUAUUUAUCUGUUUCGGAACCCAAAAGACACUAUUGUGUCGUAUUUCUUCCAUGUCAGCGGUGUACAGCCUAUCUUAAAGUACUAUGGAAAUAUCAGAGAUUUCGUAGAUAUGUCUUUGUAUAAAACUUUACCGUAUGGAACGUGGUAUGACCAUGUUCUAGAGUGGGAGAAGUUCUUUGAAACAACUGAAAAUCCAUUUUAUCAGUUUAGCUAUGAAGAUAUGCAGGAGAAUCCAAUAGAACAUGUAAAAGGCUUAGCUAAAUUUCUAGAUUUGCCAGCGUCUGAUGAGUUAUGUAAAGCUAUAGUUGAAGCCUGUAGCUUUAAGAAAUUAAAGAGAGCUAACGAGGAAAUUAAAGAUGAUUUUUUGA